This 478-nucleotide ribosomal RNA is filed under the name uncultured bacterium. RNAcentral's name for it is "partial 16S ribosomal RNA". It matches the Rfam family "Bacterial small subunit ribosomal RNA", at positions 29 to 523 of the family's 1533-position model. The record is from RNAcentral.
AAUGAAUGUUGGCGGCGUGGAUUAGGCAUGCAAGUCGUACGCUUUAUGUAGCAAUACAUGAGGAGUGGCGUAAGGGAGAGUAAUGCAUGGUUAGCUACCCUCGGGACUGGGAUAGCGGCGGGAAACUGCCGGUAAUACCAGAUGACAUCUUCGGAUCAAACGUGUAAAUCGGCCCGAGGAGGUGACCAUGUCCUAUCAGCUAGUUGGCGGUGUAACGGACCACCAAGGCUAAGACGGGUAUGGGGCGUGAGAGCGUGCCCCCACUCACUGGGACUGAAGCACUGCCCAGACACCUACGGGUGGCUGCAGUCGAGAAUCUUCGGCAAUGGGCGCAAGCCUGACCGAGCGACGCCGCGUGCGGGAUGAAGGCCUUCGGGUUGUAAACCGCUGUCGUAGGGGAGGAAGGCUCCGUGCAGAACGGAGUUUGACCGAUCCUAGGAGGAAGGGCCGGCUAAUCUCGUGCCAGCAGCCGCCGUAA